GGAUUAUAAUUAUAAUGUUUUUCAAAACUGAAAUAUAUGAUGUACCACAUACACGGAACUGCGAAGUGGAGCCAAUGCAUUGACAAAUUUUCAGACGUUGACUUUCUUGGAGAUAAUUCUACCGACUCAGAUGAAGCCAUACAACAUUGGAGAGAAUUAUGAAACUUAAAGGUAAUACAAUUUUGCUGAGCAAGAAUCCAAUUUUAUUAACGCUGCGGGCUUCAACAUAUUUAUAUUGCAAAGAAACACAUAACUAGUUUGGACAUUGGUAUCUUUUCUGAAGGGAAAGUGCAUCUAGUUGGAUGCGUUAAACAGGUUGUCAAACCCGUUCCCAUUUGCAACGAGCAGAGACAAACUUCUUUGAAAAAACAUUAUGCAAUUACCAAAAAGCUUCAGUGGCUGUUAUUAAAAUUCUUCAACUAUCGACAUUGCACAUAAUUGAUGAAGACUUUUCAACUAGGUAUAUUCUGAUAGGUACCUAUUUCCUUUAAUUUGUGUACUUAUUUUACCUAUUUUUCCCCCCACCACCCAUCAGAAAGUGAUUAUUUAGUUUAUUUAACCAAAGAAAACUAUACCUACACACUGUGUUUGUAAAUAAAAUUAUUUUGUCAAUGACUAAUUUAAGAGAACUUUAUUUUCAAAUUUUAUUAUAAAAAAUAAAAGUAGGUGCCUAUUUAAAAUCUUAAUGAACUAUACCAUCAUGCUUUUCAUAUUUGUCGUAUCGAUAGUCUAUGCGUAUUCUAAAAUUUAGAAAUAUAUGACUAAUGUAGUUAUGUGUUGUAGAUUAUUGUUAUACAUGCAGCAGUUAUUUGUACACACUAUGUAAGAAAAAAAUAAAUGGUAAUAUAAUAUAAAAUUUAACUGUAGCCAUGUAUAAAACAAUUAAAC
Acyrthosiphon pisum (pea aphid) is the source of this 888-nucleotide long non-coding RNA. RefSeq lists it as uncharacterized. The transcript is spliced from 3 exons. NCBI's taxonomy places the organism in Eukaryota, Metazoa, Arthropoda, Insecta, Hemiptera, Aphididae. The record is from RefSeq and is a predicted model, not a curated record.